This 2219-nucleotide ribosomal RNA is filed under the name human gut metagenome. Its description in RNAcentral is "bacterial LSU rRNA". It matches the Rfam family "Bacterial large subunit ribosomal RNA", at positions 713 to 2804 of the family's 2925-position model. The record is from RNAcentral.
ACCCGAAGCGGGAUGAUCUAGCCCUGGGCAGGUUGAAGCGCGGGUAAGACCGCGUGGAGGACCGAACCCACCUGGGUUGAAAACCGGGGGGAUGACCUGGGGCUAGGGGUGAAAGGCCAAUCAAAUUCCGUGAUAGCUGGUUCUCUCCGAAAUGCAUUUAGGUGCAGCGUCGGUUGAUUGCAUCGCGGGGGUAGAGCUACUGGAUGCUUGCGGGCCCGUAUGGGGUACCAAUAGCAGCCAAACUCCGAAUACCGUGGAUGUGUAUUCCGGCAGUGAGUCGGCGGGGGAUAAGCUCCGUCGUCGAGAGGGAGACAGCCCAGAUCGUCGUCUAAGGUCCCGAAGCGUGUGCUAAGUGGGAAAGGAUGUGGAGUCGCAUAGACAGCCAGGAGGUUGGCUCAGAAGCAGCCACCCUUGAAAGAGUGCGUAACAGCUCACUGGUCUAGUGGUUCCGCGCCGACAAUGUAGCGGGGCUCAAGCACACCACCGAAGACGCGGCAGCGGCCUUUGUGGCCGUUGGGUAGGAGAGCGUCCCGCGUGGGGCGAAGCGGCCGGGGAACCGUGCCGUGGACCGCGCGGGAGUGAGAAUGCAGACAUGAGUAGCGAGAGACGGGUGAGGAUCCCGUCCGCUGGAUGACCAAGGGUUCCGGGGCCACGUUCGUCGUCCCCGGGUGAGUCGGGUCCUAAGGCGAGGCCGACAGGCGUAGUCGAAUGGAUGAACGGGUGGAUAUUCCCGUACCGGCGGCGUACCGUAAGAGCCGAACGGAUGAGUACUAACCUCCGGUCGCGUGGCGUCGUUCCCUUCGGGGUUCGGUGUCCGCGGUCGUUGGGAGCGUAGUCCUGGUAGGCUAGCGCACAGGGGUGACACGGAAUGGGAGCCGGCCGCGGAGGUGGUUUUCCGUGGUCAAGCACGCAGCCCGUCCCAUAGGCAAAUCCGUGGGGCAUGUAGGGUGAGGUGUGAUGAUGGGCGUCUUUUUGGCGCGAUAUCCGGUGGUCCAGGCCGUCGAGAAAAGCCUCGGCGCGAGGGGCGUCGCCGCCCGUACCCCAAACCGACACUGGUGGUCAGGUAGAGAAUACCAAGGCGAUCGAGCGAAUCCUGGUCAAGGAACUCGGCAAAUCACUCCCGUGCCUUCGGUAUAAGGGAGACCCCCGGGCGUGAAGAGGCUUGCCCUCGGAGCGUUUGGGGGUGGCACAGACCAGGGGGUAGCGACUGUUUACCAAAAACACAGGUGCAUGCGAAGGCGCAAGCCGCUGUAUAUGCACUGACGCCUGCCCGGUGCCGGAAGGUUAAGAGGAUCCGUCAGCCCCUUUUUGGGGUGAAGCGGUGAAUUCAAGCCCCGGUAAACGGCGGUGGUAACUAUAACCAUCCUAAGGUAGCGAAAUUCCUUGUCGGGUAAGUUCCGACCUGCACGAAUGGCGUAACGACUUCCCCACUGUCUCGACCAGGAGCUCGGCGAAAUUGCAGUACGAGUAAAGAUGCUCGUUAAGCGCAGAAGGACGAAAAGACCCCGGGACCUUUACUAUACCUUGGUAUUGGCGUUAGGCGCGGAUUGUGUAGCAUAGGCGGGAGGCUUCGAAGCAUGGGCGCCAGCCCGUGUGGAGCCGCAAGGUGAAAUACCGCUCUGUUCUCGUUUGACGUCUAACCUCGAACAGUCAUCCUGUUCAGGGACAGUGCCUGGCGGGUAGUUUAACUGGGGCGGUUGCCUCCCAAAGAGUAACGGAGGCGCUCAAAGGUCCGCUCAGCCCGGUUGGCAAUCGGGUUUCGAGUGUAAUCGCACAAGCGGGCUUGACUGCGAGAACGACGGUUCGGGCAGGGACGAAAGUCGGAGAUAGUGAUCCGGUGCCGGCGCACGGGCGCGGCAUCGCUCAACGGAUAAAAGGUACCCCGGGGAUAACAGGCUGAUCAUUCCCAAGAGUCCAUAUCGACGGGAUGGUUUGGCACCUCGAUGUCGGCUCGUCGCAUCCUGGGGCUGGAGCAGGUCCCAAGGGUUCGGCUGUUCGCCGAUUAAAGCGGCACGCGAGCUGGGUUCAGAACGUCGUGAGACAGUUUGGUCUCUAUCCUCUGCGCUCGUUGGAAUCCUGAGGAGGCCUGCCCAUAGUACGAGAGGACCUGGGUGGACGGACCUCUGGUAUGCCGGUUGUCGCGCCAGCGGCAUGGCCGGUUGGCUACGUUCGGGAGGGAUAACCGCUGAAAGCAUCUAAGCGGGAAGCCUGCUCCAAGA